Molecule: ribosomal RNA, 529 nt
Filed under: uncultured bacterium
Lineage: Bacteria
Description: bacterial SSU rRNA
Rfam family: Bacterial small subunit ribosomal RNA
Source: RNAcentral
UGGGGAAUAUUGCACAAUGGGCGGAAGCCUGAUGCAGCGACGCCGCGUGGGGGAUGAAGGCCUUCGGGUUGUAAACUCCUUUCGACAGGGACGAAGCUUUUGUGACGGUACCUGUAUAAGAAGCACCGGCUAACUACGUGCCAGCAGCCGCGGUAAUACGUAGGGUGCGAGCGUUGUCCGGAAUUACUGGGCGUAAAGAGCUCGUAGGUGGUUUGUCGCGUCGUCUGUGAAAUUCCGGGGCUUAACUCCGGGCGUGCAGGCGAUACGGGCUGACUUGAGUGCUGUAGGGGAGACUGGAAUUCCUGGUGUAGCGGUGAAAUGCGCAGAUAUCAGGAGGAACACCGAUGGCGAAGGCGGGUCUCUGGGCAGUAACUGACGCUGAGGAGCGAAAGCAUGGGUAGCGAACAGGAUUAGAUACCCUGGUAGUCCAUGCCGUAAACGGUGGGCGCUAGGUGUAGGGGGCUUCCACGUCUUCUGUGCCGUAGCUAACGCAUUAAGCGCCCCGCCUGGGGAGUACGGCCGCAAGGCU